This 254-nucleotide ribosomal RNA is filed under the name uncultured bacterium. Its description in RNAcentral is "partial 16S ribosomal RNA". It matches the Rfam family "Bacterial small subunit ribosomal RNA", at positions 524 to 776 of the family's 1533-position model. The record is from RNAcentral.
CACGUAGGGUGCGAGCGUUGUCCGGAAUUAUUGGGCGUAAAGAGCUCGUAGGCGGUGUGUCGCGUCGGCCGUGAAAACCUGCAGCUUAACUGUGGGCUUGCGGUCGAUACGGGCAUCACUGGAGUUCGGCAGGGGAGACUGGAAUUCCUGGUGUAGCGGUGAAAUGCGUAGAGAUCGGUAGGAACACCAGUGGCGAAGGCGGUCUCUUGGCCCACUCUUGACGCUGAGGCGCGAAAGCUGGGGGAGCAAACAGG